This 221-nucleotide ribosomal RNA is filed under the name uncultured Methanosaeta sp. RNAcentral describes it as "partial 16S ribosomal RNA". It matches the Rfam family "Archaeal small subunit ribosomal RNA", at positions 1119 to 1338 of the family's 1478-position model. Lineage: Archaea; Methanobacteriati; Methanobacteriota; Methanomicrobia; Methanotrichales; Methanotrichaceae. The record is from RNAcentral.
GAGGAGGAAGGAAUGGGCAACGGUACGGUCAGUAUGGCCCCGAAUAUCCCGGGCUACACGCGAGCUACAAUGGUUGGUACAAUGGGUAUCUACCCCGAAAGGGGACGGGAAUCUCCUAAACCAAUCUUAGUUCGGAUUGAGGGCUGCAACUCGCCCUCAUGAAGCUGGAAUCCGUAGUAAUCGCGUUUCAACAGAACGCGGUGAAUACGUCCCUGCUCCUU